CUGAUGCGUUGUUGGGUAGGGGAGCGUUCUGUAAGCCUGCGAAGGUGGCCUGUGAGGGUUGCUGGAGGUAUCAGAAGUGCGAAUGCUGACAUAAGUAACGAUAAAGCGGGUGAAAAGCCCGCUCGCCGGAAGACCAAGGGUUCCUGUCCAACGUUAAUCGGGGCAGGGUGAGUCGACCCCUAAGGCGAGGCCGAAAGGCGUAGUCGAUGGGAAACGGGUUAAUAUUCCCGUACUUGGUGUUACUGCGAAGGGGGGACGGAGAAGGCUAUGUUGGCCGGGCGACGGUUGUCCCGGUUUAAGCGUGUAGGCUGGUUUUCCAGGCAAAUCCGGAAAAUCAAGGCUGAGGCGUGAUGACGAGGCACUACGGUGCUGAAGCAACAAAUGCCCUGCUUCCAGGAAAAGCCUCUAAGCAUCAGGUAACAUCAAAUCGUACCCCAAACCGACACAGGUGGUCAGGUAGAGAAUACCAAGGCGCUUGAGAGAACUCGGGUGAAGGAACUAGGCAAAAUGGUGCCGUAACUUCGGGAGAAGGCACGCUGACACGUAGGUGAAGUGAUUUACUCAUGGAGCUGAAGUCAGUCGAAGAUACCAGCUGGCUGCAACUGUUUAUUAAAAACACAGCACUGUGCAAACACGAAAGUGGACGUAUACGGUGUGACGCCUGCCCGGUGCCGGAAGGUUAAUUGAUGGGGUCAGCGCAAGCGAAGCUCCUGAUCGAAGCCCCGGUAAACGGCGGCCGUAACUAUAACGGUCCUAAGGUAGCGAAAUUCCUUGUCGGGUAAGUUCCGACCUGCACGAAUGGCGUAAUGAUGGCCAGGCUGUCUCCACCCGAGACUCAGUGAAAUUGAACUCGCUGUGAAGAUGCAGUGUACCCGCGGCAAGACGGAAAGACCCCGUGAACCUUUACUAUAGCUUGACACUGAACAUUGAGCCUUGAUGUGUAGGAUAGGUGGGAGGCUUUGAAGUGUGGACGCCAGUCUGCAUGGAGCCGACCUUGAAAUACCACCCUUUAAUGUUUGAUGUUCUAACGUGGACCCGUUACCCGGGUUGCGGACAGUGUCUGGUGGGUAGUUUGACUGGGGCGGUCUCCUCCUAAAGAGUAACGGAGGAGCACGAAGGUUGGCUAAUCCUGGUCGGACAUCAGGAGGUUAGUGCAAUGGCAUAAGCCAGCUUGACUGCGAGCGUGACGGCGCGAGCAGGUGCGAAAGCAGGUCAUAGUGAUCCGGUGGUUCUGAAUGGAAGGGCCAUCGCUCAACGGAUAAAAGGUACUCCGGGGAUAACAGGCUGAUACCGCCCAAGAGUUCAUAUCGACGGCGGUGUUUGGCACCUCGAUGUCGGCUCAUCACAUCCUGGGGCUGAAGUAGGUCCCAAGGGUAUGGCUGUUCGCCAUUUAAAGUGGUACGCGAGCUGGGUUUAGAACGUCGUGAGACAGUUCGGUCCCUAUCUGCCGUGGGCGCUGGAGAACUGAGGGGGGCUGCUCCUAGUACGAGAGGACCGGAGUGGACGCAUCACUGGUGUUCGGGUUGUCAUGCCAAUGGCACUGCCCGGUAGCUAAAUGCGGAAGAGAUAAGUGCUGAAAGCAUCUAAGCACGAAACUUGCCCCGAG
RNAcentral lists this ribosomal RNA (1606 nucleotides) under Salmonella enterica subsp. enterica serovar Enteritidis. Its description in RNAcentral is "partial 23S ribosomal RNA". It matches the Rfam family "Bacterial large subunit ribosomal RNA", at positions 1213 to 2803 of the family's 2925-position model. Lineage: Bacteria; Pseudomonadati; Pseudomonadota; Gammaproteobacteria; Enterobacterales; Enterobacteriaceae. The record is from RNAcentral.